UAGGGCAGGGUGCCAGGUAACGCCUGGGGGGCGUGAGCCUACGACCAGUGCAACAGAGAGCAAACCGCCGAUGGCCCGCAAGGGAUCAGGUAAGGGUGAAAGGGUGCGGUAAGAGCGCACCGCGCGACUGGCAACAGUUCGUGGCACGGUAAACUCCACCCGAAGCAAGACCAAAUAGGCCCCUAUUGGCGCGGCCCGCGUUGGGGGCGGGUAGGUUGCUUGAGCCAGCGAGCGAUUGCUGGCCUAGAGGAAUGAUUGCUACCCGGGGCAACCCGGUACAGAAC
This 284-nucleotide RNase P RNA is filed under the name Limosilactobacillus reuteri. Its description in RNAcentral is "partial RNase P RNA component class A". It matches the Rfam family "Bacterial RNase P class A", at positions 62 to 343 of the family's 367-position model. Rfam says of the family: Ribonuclease P (RNase P) is a ubiquitous endoribonuclease, found in archaea, bacteria and eukarya as well as chloroplasts and mitochondria. Its best characterised activity is the generation of mature 5'-ends of tRNAs by cleaving the 5'-leader elements of precursor-tRNAs. Cellular RNase Ps are ribonucleoproteins. Lineage: Bacteria; Bacillati; Bacillota; Bacilli; Lactobacillales; Lactobacillaceae. The record is from RNAcentral.